This 466-nucleotide ribosomal RNA is filed under the name uncultured bacterium. RNAcentral describes it as "partial 16S ribosomal RNA". It matches the Rfam family "Bacterial small subunit ribosomal RNA", at positions 28 to 507 of the family's 1533-position model. The record is from RNAcentral.
GAUGAACGCUGGCGGCGUGCUUAACACAUGCCAGUCGAACGGAAAGGCCACAGCUUGCUGUGGUACUCGAGUGGCGAACGGGUGAGUAACACGUGGGUGAUCUGCCCUGUACUUCGGGAUAAGCUUGGGAAACUGGGUCUAAUACCGGCUAGGAAUCACAUGUGGGUGUGUGGUUGGAAAGCUUUUGCGGUAUGGGAUGAGCUCGCGGCCUAUCAGCUUGUUGGUGGGGUAAUGGCCUACCAAGGCGUCGACGGGUAGCCGGCCUGAGAGGGUGUACGGCCACAUUGGGACUGAGAUACGGCCCAGACUCCUACGGGAGGCAGCAGUGGGGAAUAUUGCACAAUGGGCGCAAGCCUGAUGCAGCGACGCCGCGUGGGGGAUGACGGCCUUCGGGUUGUAAACUCCUUUCGUCAGGGACGAAGCGAAAGUGACGGUACCUGGAUAAGAAGCACCGGCUAACUACGUG